ACAAAUUUUAUUUGGAUGUUGCUUUUAAGAAUUGUUGUAGUAACAAAUAAGGAACAUCAUGUAAAUGAGUUGUACCCAGUCCACUACCGAUCAAAUGCAAGUAGCUAAGCAACUUGGCACUUGUUAAGUAACUUCAACCCUCAAAACUACACCCAACAAAUGAAAAUCACUUUUAAAAGGGUACCCUACAAUUCAAGAAGAGGACCCUUCUGUCAAAGUGACAUUAUAGUGCUUGCCCUAAGUUGAUCAGAAACUAACCUAUCAAAAUCUCCCCAUGUGUACCCUUUAGCAUAACACCAGCUUUUCACCAGAUUGCUAAGGAUGAGACCCAACUUCCAGGGAUGGAUUCUGUAGUUCUUUUGUUUUGCUGAUAUCUUCUGUAAGGGACCACAAUUGCAUAUUUCCGUAUCACCAUAUGAGCGGUAACUAGUAAGCUUGUCACAACUUUAUGCUGGGCUUCAACAAUUAUUGAAGUGAACUUUGGAUGUUUUGAGUAAACCAAUUUUCAUUUAUUGUAUUAAUGGAAAGGCAUAGUGCAUGUAUGAGAAUGCAAUAGGACUACUGUAUUCCAC
Molecule: long non-coding RNA, 572 nt
Filed under: Ricinus communis (castor bean)
Lineage: Eukaryota; Viridiplantae; Streptophyta; Magnoliopsida; Malpighiales; Euphorbiaceae
Description: long non-coding RNA (RCOM_LNC000096)
Source: RNAcentral